RNAcentral lists this ribosomal RNA (455 nucleotides) under uncultured bacterium. RNAcentral's name for it is "bacterial SSU rRNA". It matches the Rfam family "Bacterial small subunit ribosomal RNA", at positions 36 to 507 of the family's 1533-position model. The record is from RNAcentral.
CUGGCGGCGUGCCUGACACAUGCAAGUCGAACGGAGUUGUUCCUUCGGGGACAACUUAGUGGCGAACGGGUGAGUAACGCGUGAGAAACCUGCCUUUCAGUGGGGGACAACAGUUGGAAACGACUGCUAAUACCGCAUAAUGUUGUUUGGGGGCAUCCCUGAAUAACCAAAGCUUUAUGUGCUGAAAGAUGGUCUCGCGUCUGAUUAGCUAGUUGGUGAGGUAACGGCUCACCAAGGCGACGAUCAGUAGCCGGUCUGAGAGGAUGAACGGCCACAUUGGGACUGAGAUACGGCCCAGACUCCUACGGGAGGCAGCAGUGGGGAAUAUUGGGCAAUGGGCGAAAGCCUGACCCAGCAACGCCGCGUGAAGGAAGAAGGCCUUCGGGUUGUAAACUUCUUUUACCAGGGACGAAGAACGUGACGGUACCUGGAGAAAAGCAACGGCUAACUACGUG